UACUUAUCCAGAGAGGUGGAGGGACUGGCCCGAUGAAACCUCGGCAACGGGUUUGCUAUUUUUGCAAAUACCGUGCUAAUUCCUGCAAAUCGAGAAAUCGAUUUGAAAGAUAAGAA
Molecule: non-coding RNA, 116 nt
Filed under: Heyndrickxia shackletonii
Lineage: Bacteria; Bacillati; Bacillota; Bacilli; Caryophanales; Bacillaceae
Description: Bacillus shackletonii SAM-I sequence
Rfam family: SAM riboswitch aptamer (S box leader)
About the family: The SAM riboswitch is found upstream of a number of genes which code for proteins involved in methionine or cysteine biosynthesis in Gram-positive bacteria.
Source: Rfam by way of RNAcentral